GGUCCGAUAGCUCAGUUGGUAGAGCACUUGAUUGAAGCUCAAGGUGUCGGCAGUUCGAUUCUGUCUCGGACCA
Non-coding RNA from Aerococcus christensenii, 73 nucleotides. The record is from Rfam. Lineage: Bacteria; Bacillati; Bacillota; Bacilli; Lactobacillales; Aerococcaceae.